RNAcentral lists this ribosomal RNA (482 nucleotides) under Scutellospora sp. Its description in RNAcentral is "SSU rRNA". It matches the Rfam family "Eukaryotic small subunit ribosomal RNA", at positions 591 to 1078 of the family's 1831-position model. Lineage: Eukaryota; Fungi; Glomeromycota; Glomeromycetes; Diversisporales; Gigasporaceae. The record is from RNAcentral.
CCAAUAGCGUAUAUUAAAGUUGUUGCAGUUAAAAAGCUCGUAGUUGAAUUUCGGGGUUCUACGGUCGGUCGGGCUAACGUCUGUACUGGUGUGUAGAAUUCCUACCUUCUGGGGAACCAUCAUGUUAUUAAUUUAGCGUGGUGGGAAACCAGGACCUUUACCUUGAAAAAAUUAGAGUGUUCAAAGCAGGCUUAUGUCUGAAUACAUUAGCAUGGAAUAAUAAAAUAGGACGGUGGUCCUGUUUUGUUGGUUUCUGAAUCACCGUAAUGAUUAAUAGGGAUAGUUGGGGGCAUUAGUAUUCAAUUGUCAGAGGUGAAAUUCUUGGAUUUAUUGAAGACUAACUUCUGCGAAAGCAUUUGCCAAGGAUGUUUUCAUUAAUCAAGAACGAAAGUUAGGGGAUCGAAGACGAUCAGAUACCGUCGUAGUCUUAACCAUAAACUAUGCCGACUAGGGAUCGGACGAUGUUAAUUUUUCUUGACUCG